GAUGAACGCUAGCUACAGGCUUAACACAUGCAAGUCGCGGGGCAGCAUGGGGGUUGCUUGCAAUCCCCGAUGGCGACCGGCGCACGGGUGAGUAACGCGUAUCCAACCUGCCCUUCACCACGGGAUAACCCGGCGAAAGUCGGACUAAUACCGUAUGUUGUCCAUUGACGGCAUCCGAUUUGGACGAAAGGUUUGGCGGUGAAGGAUGGGGAUGCGUCCGAUUAGCUGGACGGCGGGGUGACGGCCCACCGUGGCGACGAUCGGUAGGGGUUCUGAGAGGAAGGUCCCCCACACUGGAACUGAGACACGAUCCAGACUCCUACGGGAGGCAGCAGUGAGGAAUAUUGGUCAAUGGGCGUAAGCCUGAACCAGCCAAGUAGCGUGCAGGAUGACGGCCCUAUGGGUUGUAAACUGCUUUUAUGCGGGGAUAAAGUGGCCCACGUGUGGGUUUUUGCAGGUACCGCAUGAAUAAGGACCGGCUAAUUCCGUG
RNAcentral lists this ribosomal RNA (490 nucleotides) under uncultured bacterium. Its description in RNAcentral is "partial 16S ribosomal RNA". It matches the Rfam family "Bacterial small subunit ribosomal RNA", at positions 28 to 507 of the family's 1533-position model. The record is from RNAcentral.